Molecule: ribosomal RNA, 439 nt
Filed under: uncultured bacterium
Lineage: Bacteria
Description: partial 16S ribosomal RNA
Rfam family: Bacterial small subunit ribosomal RNA
Source: RNAcentral
CUACGGGCUGCAGCAGUGAGGAAUAUUGCACAAUGGGGGGAACCCUGAUGCAGCAACGCCGCGUGGAGGAUGACGCAUUUCGGUGUGUAAACUCCUUUUAUAUGUCAAGAAAAUGACGGUAGCAUAUGAAUAAGCACCGGCUAACUCCGUGCCAGCAGCCGCGGUAAUACGGAGGGUGCAAGCGUUACUCGGAAUCACUGGGCGUAAAGGGCGCGUAGGCGGGUUGGAAAGUCAGGUGUGAAAUCCUACAGCUUAACUGUAGAACUGCACUUGAAACUUCUAAUCUAGAGUAUGGGAGGGGGAGAUGGAAUUAGUGGUGUAGGGGUAAAAUCCGUAGAUAUCACUAGGAAUACCUAAAGCGAAGGCGAUCUCCUGGAACAUUACUGACGCUAAGGCGUGAAAGCGUGGGGAGCAAACAGGAUUAGAUACCCUCGUAGUC